AUGUUCUCUGCAUCUCUUCUGCUGUGUCUGGCAGCUGCAUCCUAUGUUCACUGUGUUGAACUCACCCAGCCAGGUUCUAUGGUUGUAAAGCCAGGACAGUCUCUGACCAUCUCCUGUAAAGUCUCUGGGUACUCAGUCACUGAUAGCAGCUAUGGUACAAACUGGAUACGACAGCCGGCAGGGAAAGCACUGGAGUGGAUUGGGUAUAUGUGGGGUGAUGGGAGCAUUUAUUACAAAGAUUCUCUUAAAAACAAGUUCAGCAUCUCCAGAGACACCUCCAGCAGCACAGUGUCUUUGCAAGGAAGCAGCUUGCAGACUGAAGACACAGCUGUUUAUUACUGUGCCCGACAGCCACAGUGA
Non-coding RNA from Megalops cyprinoides (Indo-Pacific tarpon), 360 nucleotides. NCBI's taxonomy places the organism in Eukaryota, Metazoa, Chordata, Actinopteri, Elopiformes, Megalopidae. The record is from the annotation of a RefSeq genome assembly.